GUCGAGCGGACAGAAGGGAGCUUGCUCCCGGAUGUUAGCGGCGGACGGGUGAGUAACACGUGGGUAACCUGCCUGUAAGACUGGGAUAACUCCGGGAAACCGGAGCUAAUACCGGAUAGUUCCUUGAACCGCAUGGUUCAAGGAUGAAAGACGGUUUCGGCUGUCACUUACAGAUGGACCCGCGGCGCAUUAGCUAGUUGGUGAGGUAACGGCUCACCAAGGCGACGAUGCGUAGCCGACCUGAGAGGGUGAUCGGCCACACUGGGACUGAGACACGGCCCAGACUCCUACGGGAGGCAGCAGUAGGGAAUCUUCCGCAAUGGACGAAAGUCUGACGGAGCAACGCCGCGUGAGUGAUGAAGGUUUUCGGAUCGUAAAGCUCUGUUGUUAGGGAAGAACAAGUGCAAGAGUAACUGCUUGCACCUUGACGGUACCUAACCAGAAAGCCACGGCUAACUACGUGCCAGCAGCCGCGGUAAUACGUAGGUGGCAAGCGUUGUCCGGAAUUAUUGGGCGUAAAGGGCUCGCAGGCGGUUUCUUAAGUCUGAUGUGAAAGCCCCCGGCUCAACCGGGGAGGGUCAUUGGAAACUGGGAAACUUGAGUGCAGAAGAGGAGAGUGGAAUUCCACGUGUAGCGGUGAAAUGCGUAGAGAUGUGGAGGAACACCAGUGGCGAAGGCGACUCUCUGGUCUGUAACUGACGCUGAGGAGCGAAAGCGUGGGGAGCGAACAGGAUUAGAUACCCUGGUAGUCCACGCCGUAAACGAUGAGUGCUAAGUGUUAGGGGGGUUUCCGCCCCUUAGUGCUGCAGCUAACGCAUUAAGCACUCC
This 828-nucleotide ribosomal RNA is filed under the name Bacillus aerophilus. Its description in RNAcentral is "bacterial SSU rRNA". It matches the Rfam family "Bacterial small subunit ribosomal RNA", at positions 61 to 870 of the family's 1533-position model. The record is from RNAcentral. Lineage: Bacteria; Bacillati; Bacillota; Bacilli; Caryophanales; Bacillaceae.